This 477-nucleotide ribosomal RNA is filed under the name uncultured anaerobic ammonium-oxidizing bacterium. RNAcentral's name for it is "bacterial SSU rRNA". It matches the Rfam family "Bacterial small subunit ribosomal RNA", at positions 365 to 832 of the family's 1533-position model. The record is from RNAcentral.
UUCGCAAUGCCCGAAAGGGUGACGAAGCGACGCCGCGUGCGGGAAGAAGGCCUUCGGGUUGUAAACCGCUGUCGGGAGUUAAGAAAUGCAAGGGUGUUAACAGCAUCCUUGCUUGACUAAGGCUCCGGAGGAAGCCACGGCUAACUCUGUGCCAGCAGCCGCGAUAAUACAGAGGCGGCAAGCGUUGUUCGGAAUUAUUGGGCGUAAAGAGCACGUAGGCGGCCGUGUAAGUCGGUUGUGAAAGCCUUCCGCUCAACGGAAGAACGGCAUCCGAUACUGCAUGGCUUGAGUGCGGGAGGGGAGAGUGGAACUUCUGGUGGAGCGGUGAAAUGCGUAGAUAUCAGAAGGAACACCGGCGGCGAAAGCGACUCUCUGGCCUAUUACUGACACUGAGUGUGCGAAAGUUAGGGGAGCAAACGGGAUUAGAUACCCCGGUAGUCCCAACCGUAAACGAUGGGCACUAAGUAGAGGGGUUUU